UACGGGGGGAGCAAGCGUUGUUCGGAUUUACUGGGCGUAAAGAGCUCGUAGGUGGUUUGUCGCGUUGUCCUUGAAAACUCACAACUCAAUUGUGGGCGUGCGGGCGAUACGGGCAGACUGGAGUACUGCAGGGGAGACUGGAAUUCCUGGUGUAGCGGUGGAAUGCGCAGAUAUCAGGAGGAACACCGGUGGCGAAGGCGGGUCUCUGGGCAGUAACUGACGCCGAGGAGCGAAAGCGUGGGGAGCGAACAGG
Molecule: ribosomal RNA, 253 nt
Filed under: uncultured bacterium
Lineage: Bacteria
Description: partial 16S ribosomal RNA
Rfam family: Bacterial small subunit ribosomal RNA
Source: RNAcentral